GACGAACGCUGGCGGCGUGCUUAACACAUGCAGGUCGAGCGAGAGAAAUUCCUUCGGGAAGGACUCUAGCGGCGGACGGGUGAGUAACACGUGGGUAACUUGCCUCAUAGAGGGGAAUAGCCUUUCGAAAGGAAGAUUAAUACCGCAUAAGAUUGUAGUAUCGCAUGAUGCAGCAAUUAAAGGAGUAAUCCGCUAUGAGAUGGACCCGCGUCGCAUUAGCUAGUUGGUGAGGUAACGGCUCACCAAGGCGACGAUGCGUAGCCGACCUGAGAGGGUGAUCGGCCACAGUGGGACUGAGACACGGCCCAGACUCCUACGGGAGGCAGCUGUGGGGAAUAUUGCACAAUGGGGGAAACCCUGAUGCAGCAACGCCGCGUGAGUGAUGACGGCCUUCGGGUCGUAAAGCUCUGUCUUCAGGGACGAUAAUGACGGUACCUGAGGAGGAAGCCACGGCUAACUACGUGUCAGCCGCCGCUGUAA
Molecule: ribosomal RNA, 480 nt
Filed under: uncultured bacterium
Lineage: Bacteria
Description: partial 16S ribosomal RNA
Rfam family: Bacterial small subunit ribosomal RNA
Source: RNAcentral